RNAcentral lists this ribosomal RNA (429 nucleotides) under Bacteroidota bacterium. RNAcentral describes it as "Bacteroidetes bacterium partial 16S ribosomal RNA". It matches the Rfam family "Bacterial small subunit ribosomal RNA", at positions 355 to 776 of the family's 1533-position model. The record is from RNAcentral. Lineage: Bacteria; Pseudomonadati; Bacteroidota.
UAGGGAAUCUUCCGCAAUGGACGCAAGUCUGACGGAGCAACGCCGCGUGAGUGAAGAAGGAUUUCGGUUCGUAAAACUCUGUUGUUAGAGAAGAACAGCGCAUAGAGUAACUGUUAUGCGUGUGACGGUAUCUAACCAGAAAGCCACGGCUAACUACGUGCCAGCAGCCGCGGUAAUACGUAGGUGGCAAGCGUUGUCCGGAUUUAUUGGGCGUAAAGCGAGCGCAGGCGGUCAAUUAAGUGUGAUGUGAAAGCCCCCGGCUCAACCGGGGAGGGUCAUUGGAAACUGGUUGAAUUGAGUGCAGAAGAGGAGAGUGGAAUUCCAUGUGUAGCGGUGAAAUGCGUAGAUAUAUGGAGGAACACCAGUGGCGAAGGCGACUCUCUGGUCUGUAACUGACGCUGAGGUUCGAAAGCGUGGGUAGCAAACAGG